RNAcentral lists this ribosomal RNA (455 nucleotides) under uncultured bacterium. RNAcentral describes it as "bacterial SSU rRNA". It matches the Rfam family "Bacterial small subunit ribosomal RNA", at positions 29 to 507 of the family's 1533-position model. The record is from RNAcentral.
AACGAACGCUGGCGGCAGGCUUAACACAUGCAAGUUGAACGGGAUUGUUUUGGUGCUUGCACUAAGACAUGAGAGUGGCGCACGGGUGAGUAAUAUGUAGGAACGUACCUAUUGGUUCGGGAUAACGCUUGGAAACGAGUGCUAAUACCGGAUAAGCCCUGAGGGGGAAAGAUUUAUUGCCGAUAGAACGGCCUGCAUCAGAUUAGGUAGUUGGUGGGGUAAAGGCCUACCAAGCCGACGAUCUGUAGCUGGUCUGAGAGGACGAUCAGCCACAUUGGGACUGAGACACGGUCCAGACUCCUACGGGAGGCAGCAGUGGGGAAUAUUGGGCAAUGGGGGGAAACCCUGACCCAGCAACGCCGCGUGAAGGAAGAAGGCCCUCGGGUUGUAAACUUCUUUUACCAGGGACGAAGAACGUGACGGUACCUGGAGAAAAAGCCACGGCUAACUACGUG